GAUGAACGCUGGCGGCGUGCCUAAUACAUGCAAGUCGAACGGGGAGUAUUAAUUUCGAUUUUUACUCCUAGUGGCGAACGGGUGAGUAACGCGUUGGUGACCUGCCCCGAAGCGGGGGAUAACAGUUCGAAAGGACUGCUAAUACCCCAUGUGGUCGUACAGGUUAGAGACUGAACGACUAAAGGAGCAAUCCACUUCGGGAGGGGCCUGCGUCCCAUCAGCUAGUUGGUAAGGUAACGGCCUACCAAGGCGAUGACGGGUAGGGGACCUGAGAGGGUGGUCCCCCACACUGGCACUGAAACACGGGCCAGACACCUACGGGUGGCAGCAGUAGGGAAUAUUGCACAAUGGGCGAAAGCCUGAUGCAGCAACGCCGCGUGCGCGAAGAAGGCCUUCGGGUUGUAAAGCGCUUUUCUUGAGGAAGAGAAAGGACGGUACUCCAGGAAUAAGGAUCGGCUAACUACGUGCCAGCAGCCGCGGUAACACGUAGGAUCCGAGCGUUAUCCGAAUUUACUGGGCGUAAAGCGCGUGUAGGCGGCCGGGUAAGUUGGACGUGAAAGCUCCUGGCUCAACUAGGAGAGGUCGUUCAAAACUGCCUGGCUAGAGGGCGACAGAGGGAGGUGGAAUUCCCAGUGUAGUGGUGAAAUGCGUAGAUAUCGGGAGGAACACCAGUGGCGAAGGCGGCCUCCUGGGUCGCUCCUGACGCUCAGACGCGAAAGCUAGGGGAGCAAACGGGAUUAGAUACCCCGGUAGUCCUAGCUGUAAACGAUGUGGACUUGGCGUUGGUGGUGUCAAAGCCAUCAGUGCCGUAGCUAACGCGAUAAGUCCACCGCCUGGGGACUACGACCGCAAGGUUAAAACUCAAAGGAAUUGGCGG
This 877-nucleotide ribosomal RNA is filed under the name uncultured bacterium. RNAcentral's name for it is "bacterial SSU rRNA". It matches the Rfam family "Bacterial small subunit ribosomal RNA", at positions 28 to 916 of the family's 1533-position model. The record is from RNAcentral.